GAUGAACGCUGGCGGCGUGCCUAACACAUGCAAGUCGAGCGAACAGAGGUGGAACCUUCCCCCCUGCCAUUAGCGUCGGACGGGUGAGUGUCACGUGGAUACAAUCUCUCUUACAGUGGGAGACAAUAGGGAGACCGGACCUCUUACCGGAUAAUAUAUUGAACCGCAUGGUUCAAUAGAGAAAGACGGUUUCGCUUACACUUAACGUAGGACCCGCGCCGCAUUAGCAAGUUGGUAAGGUAAGGGCUUACCAAGGAGACGAUGGGUAGCCGACCGGGAAGGUGGAUGGGCAACACUGGACCGAGAAAACGGUCCAGACUCCUACGGGAGGCAGCGUUAGGGAAUCUUCCGCAAUGGGCGAAAGCCUGACGGAGCAACGCCGCGUGGGUGAGGAAGGUCUUCGGAUCGUAAGACUCUUUUAUUAGGGAAGAAGAAAUGUGUAAGUAACGAGGCACGUCUUGACGGUACCUAAUCAGAAAGCCACGGCUAACUACGUG
RNAcentral lists this ribosomal RNA (497 nucleotides) under uncultured bacterium. RNAcentral describes it as "partial 16S ribosomal RNA". It matches the Rfam family "Bacterial small subunit ribosomal RNA", at positions 28 to 507 of the family's 1533-position model. The record is from RNAcentral.